CCAUUAUAGCUUAGGCAUAAGCAAAUUGGAUCCAUGUUGGUCUUCAGCCCACCUUCUGAUAGCAGCCACAGAACUUUGAGUUGAGAACAUGGAAGCAAGAUCAAAGAGUUGAAGAAGAAAUAUGUUACAAGAAAUGUGAUCAAUAUAAGAAGAAAUGCUCCUAAUUUUAAGCAAAACAGAGCUAGCAGCAGCAAGGCAGAAUCAACAGCAGCAAGGCAAAGACACACUCACACACAGCACCUGAGCAGCUAUUCAUAGCAGCUAAACUAAAGCAAACACAAACCAGAAUUUAUAGACAUUAACAGCAGGCAGACACGGCACCUGGAUAGAUUUACAUUGCAGAUCACAUCACACUCCAGCAGAAUGUGUAGACAGACCACCAGAGUGUAGCCUAACCAGUUCCAUAUUUGAGGAAGCUAAGAGAACGACAAAGACAUGGGGUAUCAGAUACUCUCAGGUGUCUGACUGAAAUGGAAUGAAGAUGGUUUCUGUACUGGUGUAGCAAAAUAUGAUGGCAAUUGGGACCCAGGAGGAUAAUCUGGAGCAGCAGGAAAUUGUGACAUCAAUCUAGUGGAUGAGAAUGGGAUUUGGUUAGGAUAUCCAUAAAACGAAUCAAACCUGGUAGACAGUUUUGGCACCAGUAUUCUUAAGCUCAAUACCAGUCCACAGGAAAGACCUACAAAGACUCUCCACCUCUCUGAUGACUUUCUUAAGUAUAAUAAACAAAGAGGACCAAUAAACUUGCAUGGAGAACAAGAUAGUGCUAAUCAACUGAGCUCUCCCGGCGUAGGACAAAAUUUUAUUGGUCCAAGAUUUGAUUCUAUUAGAGAUUCUAGACACCAAAAUCUGACAAUCAACAGCUUUGAGCCAAGUAGGAAUAAGGGGGACACCCAGGUAUCUCAUAGGGAGAGUACCAUCCUUAAACUUAGUAAUAUCCAAAAUCUCAUACCUCAACUUCUGCUCACAACCAGAGAAAAACACAUGACUCUUCAUAGGAUUAGCGGACAGACCAGACAUGCUUUGAAACUCAGCUAAUCCCUCCUUAAUAAGAGUAACAGAAUUAGUAUCCCCUUUACAAAAAAUCAUUAGAUCAUCCGCAAAAUAGAGAUUCACAAUUUUGGCUUUCUCACAUCCAGCGGAACUUGAAUUUUUUAGUUUGAGUUAAUUUGGUUCAAUUUCACACUUUAGACCACUAUGAACUUGGGAUAAGCCAGCUCCGUUUGUUACAAAACAAGUCUAUGCAAGAGCACCAAGUGCAGGCCAAGCUGCAGCCUGAGCUGCAGCCACAUACUUAGUUUGCCACUGAUGAAGGAGCUCAAGACAGAGCCACAGCCGCAGACCAGGUUGCUGACUCAACUGCAACAAAACACCAGGCCGCAGCCCAAGCCACAAUGGCUGCAGCCUAGGCCACAAGCUCAGAACAAGUCUAAGCAAGAGCACCACUCUGCUGCUGCUAUUGCUGCACUUAGUUGCUGCUGCGGCUGCUGCAAACGGUUUUUGCUGCUACUGCAAGUUGCUGCCUGUUUGGGAGGGAAACCACCUAAAUUGCAUUUUCUUUUCAUUUGAUCUGGUAGAGGAGCUUGCAAGAAACCCAUUCUACGUCAGGAAUCCUUGCACAACCUUGCUGGUUAUACAUAAUCGUUGAAUUUGGACAAGGCGGUUCUAGCCUUCUGCAUGUUGCUGUGAUUUGGCUGUGUUGGGUAUAGUGGAUCCUGAUAAAUACUAAUUACUGACCACUCGAUCGCGGAUCCAAUUUAAGGGUUAUAUAUGGAGACACAGAUUCUGUAAUGGUACAAUUUGGUGUUUCUACUGUUGAAGAAGCUAUGAACUUGGGGAGGGAAGCUGCUGAUUACAUUAGUGGGACUUUCACAAAAUGACAAAAACGUUGAGGAUUCUCUGGGCGGAAGUAUUGUGGCUCAGAUCUCUAAGAAGUUUGGUGAGAGUUUCUUUCGAGACUUUGAGGAGAUGAAGAGUCAGUGUGAUGAGAAAAUGUUCGACUGUAUCUUUUGUAAGACUAGAACAGUCUCUACAAAUAGUUAGUUUAUUUAUAUACUUCUAGCGGUUUCUGAAGUAAUUUGUAUUUCUAUUUUUUAGGUCAGAAAUUUCUUGGAGAGAUAUAAAAUAUGGUCAAAGAAUUCAAGAA
Non-coding RNA from Camellia sinensis, 2143 nucleotides. The record is from RefSeq and is a predicted model, not a curated record. NCBI's taxonomy places the organism in Eukaryota, Viridiplantae, Streptophyta, Magnoliopsida, Ericales, Theaceae.